AUGUCCUGUGCAGUGAAAAAAAGAUGUCCUUCUGUUCAGAUGGGACUUGCUGUGAGCUCCCACUGGGCACCACGGAGGAGAGCCCGGUUCUGCCCCUUCCCCAGAGGGCCCGGACUCAGCACUCGGGUUUCCUUUCAUCCCGUUCGCUGUCUUUACCGCAGAGCCGGGCUCACCCCGCGUCGCUCCUCCACUCCGGCAGGGGGCGCUGCAGCGCGGGCGGCGGAAGGAGGAAGUGUGAGCGCGGCGCGGGGCCAUGGCGCUGCCCGGCGAGCUGUGGGCAGAGCUGCCCAUCGAGAAGCGCAUCUUCUCCUCCGUCCUGCUCUUCUCGUGGGCCGUGUACCUGUGGGAGGCCUUCCUGGCGCACCGGCAGGUCGGCGGGGCUCCGGCGGGGCUGGGCCUGAGCUGAGGUCGGCCUCGGGCGGGGGGCGGCGGGCGGCGGGCGGGAGCGGGGAGGGCCCGGCCCGACGGGCAGAGCUCGUUUCCCUCUGCGCGUCUCUUUCCCAGCGCGUGGCGGAGGUCAGGGCAGGUCGCGGGGCUCACGGAGCCGCUCGGUGCCGGUCUGUGCCCGUCUGUGCNGAAGUUCUUGCGCACAUUGGUGUGGAACUUCCUGUGCUCCAGUUUCUGCCCGUUUCCCCUUGUCCUGUCAAGGGAGCUAAUUCAUCCUUAAAAGUCACUUCUCGUGCUGAAAUCAUAGCAGGACGAGGUGACAGCCUGCUUCACGUGGGCUCUGUUGUUUGUGUUUUUGCUUUCCAGAUGAUUCUCAUCUGUGGAGGAAUUCCUUUUCUCUGGAAUCUGUCUGGUCAGAUUUCAGGCCGUGCCGGGUUUGGACCAGAAUAUGAGGUAAGCAGUCCUGAAAUGCUACAGGAAGUGUUAAACAUGGAGCGACCCGCAUCGCAGCGCUGCUUCGGCUGGCUGAGGUGGCAAACAGGGCUUCAGGGCUUCUGUAUCUUAAGUAUUGCAGAUGUGAUUUUCUUUACUUCAGAUUUUGAUCAGAGCUUUGUUUGGACCUUCAAGCAGACCAGAAAAAGCUUCUGCUCACUUUGGACAAAGCUGUUCUGUGGUGUCGGGGACGUUUAUUAA
RNAcentral lists this long non-coding RNA (1080 nucleotides) under Pavo cristatus (Indian peafowl). RNAcentral describes it as "lncRNA (ENSPSTG00000002072.1)". Lineage: Eukaryota; Metazoa; Chordata; Aves; Galliformes; Phasianidae. The record is from RNAcentral.